RNAcentral lists this transfer RNA (73 nucleotides) under Trichonephila inaurata madagascariensis. It matches the Rfam family "tRNA". From Rfam's summary of the family: Transfer RNA (tRNA) molecules are approximately 80 nucleotides in length. Their secondary structure includes four short double-helical elements and three loops (D, anti-codon, and T loops). Lineage: Eukaryota; Metazoa; Arthropoda; Arachnida; Araneae; Nephilidae. The record is from Rfam by way of RNAcentral.
GUCCCUGUAGCGUAAUGGAUAGCGCGUUGGAAUACUAAUCCAAAGAUCGUGGAUUCGAAUCCCUCCUGGGAUA